This 153-nucleotide small nucleolar RNA is filed under the name Theobroma cacao (cacao). RNAcentral's name for it is "Small nucleolar RNA snoR2/U65". It matches the Rfam family "Small nucleolar RNA snoR2/U65". Lineage: Eukaryota; Viridiplantae; Streptophyta; Magnoliopsida; Malvales; Malvaceae. The record is from Rfam by way of RNAcentral.
GGUCCGAUGCCACGUCGCCGGUAGCAAAUAAAAAAGAGCAGUGACCGGCGAUGCUAUGAUUGGACCGAAAGGAAUCACAUGUUUCGCUUGCUGAUAGGAACCUGUAGAUCUAAUUCCCUACGAUCUACGGAGCCGUUUUCGGCGAUUACAUUU